AUAAAUCAAAUAAAUAAUCUGCGAAUAGUAAAAUUAAUGCCUUACUUUAUCUCAGGAAUGUUCUUCAAGAUGACCGACUUUGGAUGUUGUGGAUAACCGGGAUAUGUAUGCCAUUUUGGUAGGUGGAAGAAACAAAAAACUCAAACAUUCAGAUUUUUUUUUACUUAUCUAUAUUCUGUGAGAUUAUACUUAAUCUUAGUAAAAUGGUAUUUAUACAUUAGAAGCUAUUGAAUUUCCUUUAAAGGAAAUUACAACAUAUCCCAAGAGUUCUGCUCUGCGUAUAGAUCUUCAAUAAAGAAGUACAGUUUUUUGGCAAUGCGGUAGGCUUUAAUAACUAAUUUUGGAGUUUUACAUGAUUCUUCUCAGUUCUUACCAUGAAGGCUUGACUAUGCUUAAUAAAUAGCAAUUUAAUCAUGUUGUUUAAUGUCUUUGUUUCCUGAGAAAGAGAUUUUGAGUGAUUUUAAUUUAAAAGCUUGAAAUGUUAAAAGUUUAUUUUUUAUGGAGGGGUGAUUUUUAAUUAUUUAAAAAUAAAAAAUAAAAAAAAAGUAAUUGGAUACAAUUUUAUUCUAUAUACCUUUUUUUCUUCUCUACCAUUCUAAUAUUAUUUUAUAUUCAGCAAGUGUAAGCAAAUGUCUUGCUUAUAUGUGUAUUGUUAUAAAUCCCCUUCGUCUGUAUUCAGGAUGUCCUUGUGACAGUAAUGAGCUGGCAUAACAGGUGAAUUUAUAAUAACAUCGCUAACAGAAAAAUGGGGUAAAAGUCAUAAUGCAGAGUAAUCACCAUGGACACAAUGGGAUCAGUUGGAGUAUUUCAUUGGUUUCCAUGGUGAUGUAUUCCCUUUUUAAAGUAUUUCUAUAUUUUUUCGUAACAAUCUGUGCUGUAACCUGAAUCCUGAGAAUAUUCCCAACAUACAAAAUCUCACAUUUUAAUCUUAGAAUAUUAGCCAAUGUCAAUGACUCAAUAUCGCUGCACCGUCUUCACCACAGAUUCUCACUUACAGAUGAGAUAACAAUAACUUAUAUGUUAGAGCCUAAUAUUUCACUUAUCUUUAACUUCCAAAUGUUUUCCUUCCCAUGACCAGUCUCAAAUCCCUAAAAACUCAACCUUUCAAUAAAACCUCCAACUAUAAUUCAAUUUAUAAAGCAUAACCCAGCAAUGCCUUUCGUGGUACCCUGAGAUAUUGUUCUCAUGUUUGAGAAGUGAAGUUAUAUGUUGUUUGAUACAAUCAACUAAGCUAUUAAUAAGUGCAUUUUAUCUUAUAUUUUUUGACUAUUUAGUUACAACUCCUGGAGAAAAUAAAAGAAGAAUAUCUACAGAAGCCAAGUAUUAACAACUAAGGAGUUGGUCACAGCCCAGCAUCAAUAUCUGAUCAAUAACAUUUCCUGAAUUCCAUCCAAUGUUAUGAGUGUUUUCAGUACAAUGUCAAUCCAAAAAUAUCUCAACCGUUUUCUGCAGGAAACACUGUCAAAGUUAGAAAUUGUUAUUGAGUUAAAAUCAGGCUUAAAGUUAGACAUCCUUCUUCUUGACACAAUCUCAAAAUCCAUCCUCAGACUGUAAGUUAUUGACCCAAAAAAUUAAUCCAUCCUUUAAAGAUCUGAUCGGCCUGAUAUCAGUAUACAUGUUGCUGAAAAGUGACAAAAUGGUGAAUUUGUGAUUGCAUCGUCAUCAUCCAAAGCCCAUCAGCUGAUGUUAACAUAUUGAUAACUAUCAAACACAAAAUUUAGAUAUAUCCUCAGCUGUGACAAAACACCAUUGUAUCCAAAAAAUAUAUAAAAAUUGAAUCCCACCCUCAGCAAUGAUAGUAUGGAGGAUUAAUGGCAACCAAUAAAUAAAUAAGUUUCUAU
RNAcentral lists this long non-coding RNA (1841 nucleotides) under Pelobates cultripes (western spadefoot toad). Lineage: Eukaryota; Metazoa; Chordata; Amphibia; Anura; Pelobatidae. The record is from RNAcentral.